UAAUACGGAAGGUGCGAGCGUUAAUCGGAAUUACUGGGCGUAAAGCGCACGUAGGUGGCUUGGUAAGUCGGAUGUGAAAGCCCCGGGCUCAACCUGGGAACUGCAUUCGAUACUGCCGAGCUAGAGUACGAAAGAGGGGGGUGGAAUUCCAGGUGUAGCGGUGAAAUGCGUAGAGAUCUGGAGGAACACCAGUGGCGAAGGCGGCCCCCUGGUUCGAUACUGACGCUGAGGUGCGAAAGCGUGGGGAGCAAACAGG
RNAcentral lists this ribosomal RNA (256 nucleotides) under uncultured bacterium. Its description in RNAcentral is "partial 16S ribosomal RNA". It matches the Rfam family "Bacterial small subunit ribosomal RNA", at positions 521 to 776 of the family's 1533-position model. The record is from RNAcentral.